RNAcentral lists this small RNA (106 nucleotides) under Salmonella enterica. RNAcentral describes it as "partial RtT sRNA". It matches the Rfam family "RtT RNA", at positions 29 to 130 of the family's 130-position model. From Rfam's summary of the family: This family represents a bacterial cis-regulatory element known as RtT RNA. The exact function of RtT is unknown although it is thought that it may be involved in changing the cellular response in relation to amino acid starvation. The record is from RNAcentral. Lineage: Bacteria; Pseudomonadati; Pseudomonadota; Gammaproteobacteria; Enterobacterales; Enterobacteriaceae. RNAcentral also lists the same sequence under 1 other name.
CCUCCGGGGGCAAGAGGUUCGACUCGAGCGAAGCGAGAGAACGUUGCGCCAGCAACGGCCCGCAGGGCGAGCCACGCAGUGGCGAGUCAUCCUCUAUCACCGACCA